GACAUAACUGGAUGCGACGGUUCCCCAAGGAAGACUCUACGGGGAUUAAUAGGGAACACGGUGAGGGCGACCCAAAGGGGACCUAGACCGUGGCUGCCCCCGCAACUGUAAGCGGAUUGCCGGUCAUCCCGGAGCGACCAGCUUGCUGGUCAUCUCCCAGGGUCUUCGGACCAUGCCACUGCGCGGAAACGGCGCGGGAAGGCAGAUGAUUGUCAGACAUCCGCGAGCCAGGAGACCUGCCGUCAAUCACGAUCCAAU
RNAcentral lists this non-coding RNA (258 nucleotides) under Martinezella lusitana. Lineage: Bacteria; Pseudomonadati; Pseudomonadota; Alphaproteobacteria; Hyphomicrobiales; Rhizobiaceae. The record is from RNAcentral.